GUGGAGAUGACCCUGCCUGGUGGUGGGUACUGGCUUCAAACCAGUGGGCGACUAGCGUCGCAGUUGUUCGAUUCAACCUUCUCCAC
Molecule: transfer RNA, 86 nt
Filed under: Thalassiosira oceanica
Lineage: Eukaryota; Bacillariophyta; Thalassiosirophyceae; Thalassiosirales; Thalassiosiraceae
Description: Selenocysteine transfer RNA
Rfam family: Selenocysteine transfer RNA
Source: Rfam by way of RNAcentral